UGCAGCUGCUGCCACUGCUCGUUGUAUGUCUUUCUCAGGUGCUGCCGCUCCCGGAUCAGCACACUCAGCUUGCUCAAGGGUCCUGAAUUCAGAUCUUCUGCGUGCUGCCGCAGCACCCGGCUCAAGUUCUCGGUCUGGCUUGUUAUCUCUGCCCAGGACUACAGCACAUUGUGGGAUAGGGAAGCAGGAAGAACAUGACAAUGGCCCGCAAGCCUGGGUUUGCAUGAGGAGGUUGCCCUAGGCCGCGGGGCGGGUCCACUAUAGGGAAGAGAGAGCACAGCCCACCCCCCCAUCCUGCUUCCCACUCUGCGUGCCCUGGGCCACAGCCUACAGCGACAGCUCAGCCACGGAAACGGAAGGGAGGAGGAGGCCGGCAAAGAAUGGCCAUGAGAAGAGUGGCCUGUGCACCAGGCACUCCCCAGGGUCCUGCGAACGCGGGGGAAGGAACCCAAAAUGCAGUGGGAAUGGACUCAAGGUGAGGCGAGGUGUUGGGCCCCGGGGCACCCAGGGUGUGCGGAGUCUGGGGACUAAUGUGAAUUCUAACAGCAGGCUAGGGUGCCAGGGAGACCCAGGAGAGGAAGGAAGCCCAAUCCUGUCCCUCCUCUGGAUUCCCUAAGGAGACCUCAGGCGCCAGCCUCUAUUUGCAUAUAAAAAUCUCCGAGUAAAAGUCCUAAGCAGAGACUGCUUCUCAGGCCCGGGUUCUGUAGCACAGUUUUCUCUCUCUCCCCCAGGCCAGGCUUUCCGUCUCAGUGGCAGCCUGGGUCGCACAGGUUAUAGGACUGAGGAGAAAUUUCCCCAAGAGGGACUCAGGUUCCCUCAGCCAUUCAGUCCUGGUUUGCGGUUUCUUUUUUUCUUUUCUUAUUUUGAGAAAGGGUCUCUCUAUGUAGUCCUGUCUGCCCUAGAACUUGCUAUGUAGAUCAAGCUGGCCUCAGAGGAAGAGAUACCCCCCCCUCUGCCUCCCAAAUGCUGAGAUUAAAGGUGACAUGCCUAGCUGUGAUAACCACCAGAACUGAAAGCAGCUUGGGGAAAAAGGGUUGUCUGACUUAAAGAGCCCACCAUUAAGGGAAGUGAGGGCUAGAGCUGAAACAGGAACCAUGGAAAACA
Long non-coding RNA from Mastomys coucha (southern multimammate mouse), 1104 nucleotides. RefSeq lists it as uncharacterized. The record is from RefSeq and is a predicted model, not a curated record. Lineage: Eukaryota; Metazoa; Chordata; Mammalia; Rodentia; Muridae. The transcript is spliced from 2 exons.